UUGUAUAAGAUAUAACAGUGUUAAACAGUGUAACAUAAUUUACUGAUACCUGUUUAAGAGAACAAACUGCCAACAGCUCACUGAUCCACAAAAACUUAACUGCAAAACUCAACAUUUUAAUUUCAAGGUCUCUGGCAGUUGAGUUGAUAAUUGUCUUGUGACAUUUAUCCAUUGCUCAUUAUGUAAACAAUAGAAUUAUAUUAUAUGAUCAGAAUUUGUCAAAAAGGUUCAAUGUAUACUUGAUUUUGAUGAUCUACAAUACAUGUACAAAUCCCGCAAAUACAUAAUAUAAUGUAUGCCAUAAAUGGCGUUCAGAGAUGAUGGCUUAUUUUUUUGCUUGUGGGAUGCCACACGUAUUGUUUACGUUAUCUUAUUUACAUGGAGUGUACAUGGAACCUUGGUUGAGAUUUUGAUUAUGGUGCUAUUUUAUUGUUUCAAUUGGUAUGGAUAACAAAAUGGGCAAAGCAGUCAACUUCCCUGAUUAAGACCUUGAGAUCAACAUGUAUGCAUUAGAGAGAAAUAUUUUGGUGUAGUAUUAAGCUGUUUUUCUCCUAUCAUAUAGCUCCGUUUGACCAGCACCUACAUACUGGGCAGAAUUGACUCAUUUCACCAUUGGUUAAUCUUGAUCAGCCUCAUGAAAGUCACCUGACAUGCUUUUGGUCAAUAUGACUGAACAAAAAACAGCCAUCGUGCGCACAGCAUGUUUGAGACCUAUUUUAGGACUGUUAGAAAACCACUCUCAGUAUCUAACCUAAGUAGACUCUGGUAAUGUUAUUCAAACAGUCUUAAAGGGAUACCCCACUGACAUUCUUCUAAAUAUCUUCCUUUCUGUUCAGCAGAAGAAAGAAAUUCAUACAGGUUUGAAACAACAUAUGAUGACAGAACUUACAUUUUUCGGAAACUAUUUCAUGAAGUUGGUUGAAAUGACGCCCAAUGGUGAAAAGAACCACAGAUCUAACUACUCAUUGAAGGUCUGCUGUUCUUAGUGGUCUUCCCCUGUACUUGAGAGAGCCAGCUUCAAUUUCAAAGACUAUUAAGGAUACUGAGGCACUGGGGCCACACACAAAGGCCAUGAAAAUGAAGUGACUGACAGUUCUACCAACUAGUGGAGGAGGAAGUUGUCAUGGACAAUCUGGGAGACUUCACAAAUUCCCUCAUGAUGUUUGUUUCGGCACUGGUUGAAUACUUGUGUAAUAUUUUACUUGAGCCUAACAGGCAAAUUCAUAUGUAUUUAAAUAAAUAAAUAAAAUGUUUUUUUUUAU
This is a long non-coding RNA of Carassius auratus (goldfish), 1262 nucleotides long. RefSeq lists it as uncharacterized. NCBI's taxonomy places the organism in Eukaryota, Metazoa, Chordata, Actinopteri, Cypriniformes, Cyprinidae. The transcript has 4 exons. The record is from RefSeq and is a predicted model, not a curated record.